RNAcentral lists this ribosomal RNA (494 nucleotides) under uncultured bacterium. Its description in RNAcentral is "partial 16S ribosomal RNA". It matches the Rfam family "Bacterial small subunit ribosomal RNA", at positions 28 to 507 of the family's 1533-position model. The record is from RNAcentral.
GACGAACGCUGGCGGCGUGCUUAACACAUGCAAGUCGAACGGAAAGGCCUGCUUUCCCUUGUGGAUUGCGGGUACUCGAGUGGCGAACGGGUGAGUAACACGUGAGUGAUCUGCCCCCAACUUGGGUAUAAGCCUGGGAAACUGGGUCUAAUUCCCGAUAGGACUGCAGGGUGGUGCCUGUGGUGGAAAACGAUUUUCUAGUGGUUGGGGAUGAGCUCGCGGCCUAUCAGCUUGUUGGUGGGGUAAUGGCCUACCAAGGCGGCGACGGGUAGCCGGCCUGGGAGGGUGGACGGCCACAUUGGGACUGAGAUACGGCCCAGACGCCGACGGGAGGCAGCAGUGGGGAAUAUUGCACAAUGGGCGGAAGCCUGAUGCAGCGACGCCGCGUGGGGGAUGACGGCCUUCGGGUGGUAAACUCCUUUCGACCGCGAGGAAGCCACCUGGUUGGAAGGGUGGUGACGGUAGUGGUAGAAGAAGCACCGGCUAACUACGUG